GGACUACCCGGGUAUCUAAUCCCGUUCGCUCCCCUGGCUUUCGCGUCUCAGUGUCAGAAAACGUCCAGGACCUCGCUUUCGCCACGGGCGUUCCUUCCGAUCUCAACGCAUUUCACCGCUCCACCGGAAGUUCCAGGUCCCCCUACGUCCCUCCAGGACGGUCGUAUCGGCGCCCCUUCCCCGGUUGAGCCGGGGGAUUUCAACGACCGACGUGCCGUCCCACCUACACGCGCUUUAAGCCCAGUGAUUCCGAAUAACGUUCGCACGGUUCGUCUUACCGCGGCUGCUGGCAC
Molecule: ribosomal RNA, 293 nt
Filed under: uncultured Planctomycetota bacterium
Lineage: Bacteria; Pseudomonadati; Planctomycetota
Description: uncultured planctomycete partial 16S ribosomal RNA
Source: RNAcentral